AGUGAACGCUGGCGGUAGGCCUAACACAUGCAAGUCGAACGGCAGCACAGUAAGAGCUUGCUCUUACGGGUGGCGAGUGGCGGACGGGUGAGGAAUACAUCGGAAUCUACUUUUUCGUGGGGGAUAACGUAGGGAAACUUACUCUAAUACCGCAUACGACCUACGGGUGAAAGCAGGGGAUCUUCGGACCUUGCGCGAUUGAAUGAGCCGAUGUCGGAUUAGCUAGUUGGCGGGGUAAUGGCCCACCAAGGCGACGAUCCGUAGCUGGUCUGAGAGGAUGAUCGGCCACACGGGAGCUGAGACACGGUCAAGGCGCCUAAGAGAGGCAGCAGUGGGGAAUAUUGGGCAGUGGGCGCGAGCCUGAUACAGCCGUAGCGCGUGGGUGAAGAAGGCGUUCGGGUUGUAAAGACCUUUUGUUGGGAAAGAAAAGCAGCAGGUUAAUACCCAGCUGUUCUGACGGUACCGAAAGAAUAAGCACCGGCUAACUUCGUG
RNAcentral lists this ribosomal RNA (492 nucleotides) under uncultured bacterium. Its description in RNAcentral is "partial 16S ribosomal RNA". It matches the Rfam family "Bacterial small subunit ribosomal RNA", at positions 29 to 507 of the family's 1533-position model. The record is from RNAcentral.